AAGAGGUGUAUGAACAUCUAGACCUGCUAACUCGAACAACUGAAGAUAGAAUCCUCAGACCUCUU
RNAcentral lists this transfer RNA (65 nucleotides) under Omanosaura cyanura. Its description in RNAcentral is "tRNA-Ser". Lineage: Eukaryota; Metazoa; Chordata; Lepidosauria; Squamata; Lacertidae. The record is from RNAcentral.